CGCUGCCUUGCAUCUGUUGUACCUGUUCCUGUUGCCUUCCUUGCUUCUUGGAAUCGUGACAAGAGAGAAAAGUCGCCUCUGGUGGGUUGCUCAAAGCUGCGGGUCUGCAGCCCUGUGCAGGAAGUUGGCACCGAUCCCAGCUCUGACAGGCAGCGCGAAAGGCACCCCCAGAUUGUGGUGACGUCAUUUUCUCUCUCUCUCUCGCUUCUAAGUUUCUCAGGAGGUUGGCCAUCAACUUAGCUGGAAAAGAGAUGAAGAGACGCCAUGAUUGCAAGGCCUUUGUAUUCCACUGCAGAAUCCUACGGCAUUCUUAGAAAUACCGUUGGGCUUUCUAGUUCCAGAGGAAGAUUCUUUCCCAUGAUGCAUGUGACUCUUUCCUGUUGCAGUCACCUUCCAAUUCAGCUGGCAUGAAGAAAUCCAGCUGCUUCCUCUGUACCUUAAAUGUUAUCGCUUCUCGGCCUUUUGGCUAAGAUCGUGUGUGUGUCUCUCUCGCUUGCUCGCGCUCUCUCUCUGUGUAAUAUUAUUCCUACUUUUUCCCUCCUACCAGAUUUUUUUUCUAGAUAAAGAAAGCACCAUCUUUUAGCAAGGUGUUUUUAACACCACGUUAACAUCCUGGGCCUUUAUUUUAUUUUAUUUUGCCUCUUGAAUGCCACCUAAACUGCUUCAACUGGAUUUCUCUAGCUGCUAGAAGAAAAGCAGCUAAGCCUAAAAGCAAACCUCCUGACUGAAGCAACUUCAUUCAAGAGAUGUCCUUCCCAUGCUUGAAUAAUGGCUGCCAUUUCAGCCUGUCAGUCUGGAACCAAGCCAGGGCCCUCUAGAGACAGAAGCAUGCAUCUGACGCUAAAGAUCCUAGUUCAAAUACUAAGAUUUACUUUAUCCUCCAGGUUCUGAACUGUUUUUUAAAAUCCCAGUUUUUAUUAACAAAAAGACCAGUCAGCUUUCUUUCACCAAAUGUGCAAUAUCCUUUACAUUUCAACAGAACAACUACCGGUGCAACGUGUCUCGUAUACAUCUUUGCUCUUGUUGCGAUUCUGUAUUGUAAUGAAAACUCAACAAGCCUCAGUCUUGCAAAGUACUAUGGCAUUGGAAACUGAAUUGCGGUGAGACCAAAGUGGUCAUCAGUGGAAUUUCUCAACCAGCAGUUCAUUCUUUUAUGGCUUUCAGUUAGUCAAUGCUGUAUACAGAGAUGGAGCAUGAAUUAGUAACACCUCCUCCUAAGAGACAGCUAGGGUACCACGAAGUUGCUAUUCAUAGGUAGGAAGGAAGGAUACAGGGAAAAUGGGGUCCUAAUUACAAAUUAGCACAUUAAAACCUUUCACAUCAUCUUUGUGUAGGCAAAAAGAAAGAAGAGUCAGCAGGGCUGUGUACCAACGAUAUAUUUUCAGAAACACAGAGCUGUUUGUUACUGCCCAUGUUAUGCACGCCAUCAUGGUUCUGGUUAAGUAAGUUUUAAGGUUUUGACACUUUAAGCAGUAACUGAGAAACACUGUAAUUAGCGCCUGUCUGUAUGACCCAAACUACAGCAAUAGCCAUGUGAUGAAUAAUUCUAUAACUCCUCCCUCACAUUCUCUGGGCAUUUUUGAAAAUAUUUUGAGACUUUUUAUUUAAAUGAAUAUAAAUAUUAUAUAUUUUAAAAAUAUUCAUUUUAAUAUGUCGGACUAGAUCAACAUAAGAUGGGUACCUAUCCAAUAAUGUACAAAGAAAAAAAUAUGUAAUUUCUUAUAUGAGUUACAUUGACUAGACUAGAAGUUGUUCACAAUAUCAGCUAAGUCAAUUUCACAUCUACUUUGAAUUAUGAGGAAGUAUUUGUGUGAGGGAUUUUAAAAAAUAAUAACACCAUAUGUUGUAAUAUCUUGCACUUUGUUUUAUUCUUAUGUCAAAUUCAAAUCUCUUUAUUUCGGUCAGCGACCAGCAUGAGAUUGAAACAAAUGUAGAAGAGAAAACAAUCAAACUUCUCCUACAAACAAUAAAACCAAAUAAAUUUGGUUUAUAAAAACCAAAUAAAAGUCCUCCUGAACAUAGAUCAAGGUACUGAAAAGUGGACCCACCAGAACUACUAAAAAUACAAAAGUAUUUCAUACUUAUAAGAUUAUUACAUACAGAUCAAAAUUUGAACAGUUGCCUUUCCGACUCCUGAACCUGAGAGGGGUUAAACCAUUCAGGAGCUCAGGAAAAUUUUGUUGUUAGAUUUACUGAUGAUAUACAAGUGAUCCCAAUACCUGCUUACAAAAUACAGAAGUCUAAAAUUUGAUUAACAGUGGUGGUAGCCCUGCACACAGAAUGAGAAAGCCCGUACAGAAUCUUGGCGAGGAGUCAGUCAGGUAGAGGAGUUAGGAAUGGACUAUUGGGAUAAACGGCUGAAGCAAUAUGUGGAAGUUUGAAAUGGUUACAAUUAGGAUUUAUGAAAGAAUUGUUAUAGAUAGCCUGCAUAGUAGAAUAGCUACGGCAGAGCAUAUGUUUUUAAACUGUUUUAAUCCUAAGGGUUUUGUUGUCAAGGCAUAUUUUAUUGAUAGAAUAUUUGUUUUGAAGAUUCUUGUAUUGCUUUCCUACCCAGUAAGAAUAAACUACUUUUUUUUUUAAAGGUAGAAUAUUUGUAUAGCUCUCAUGUCUAAUAUCUGCAUACCAAAAAGGUGACAAAAGAGAGUGUUGCCCCACUGCAUAAGACCUGACCAACUCAUCUGGUGAAGUUCAGACUUCGUACUUAGAGAUGCAGUUAAAAGAAAAUUCUGAGAGAGGUCAUCUGUAGAGUAGAGGAAGAAGUUGCUUUCGCUGUCUCCCUUCUGCCCUGGCUGGAUAUUACUAUUUAUCUGUUGUCAGCCUAGAAGAAUACAACCUGAAUAGGAUAUGAAUAAGAAAAG
Long non-coding RNA from Hemicordylus capensis (graceful crag lizard), 2858 nucleotides. RefSeq lists it as uncharacterized. The record is from RefSeq and is a predicted model, not a curated record. NCBI's taxonomy places the organism in Eukaryota, Metazoa, Chordata, Lepidosauria, Squamata, Cordylidae. The transcript is spliced from 4 exons.